RNAcentral lists this ribosomal RNA (497 nucleotides) under uncultured bacterium. RNAcentral's name for it is "partial 16S ribosomal RNA". It matches the Rfam family "Bacterial small subunit ribosomal RNA", at positions 28 to 507 of the family's 1533-position model. The record is from RNAcentral.
GAUGAACGCUGGCGGCGUGCCUAAUACAUGCAAGUCGAGCGAACGGACGAGAAGCUUGCUUCUCUGAUGUUAGCGGCGGACGGGUGAGUAACACGUGGAUAACCUACCUAUAAGACUGGGAUAACUUCGGGAAACCGUAGCUAAUACCGGAUAAUAUUUUGAACCGCAUGGUUCAAAAGUGAAUGACGGUCUUGCUGUCACUUAUAGAUGGAUCCGCGCUGCAUUAGCUAGUUGGUAAGGUAACGGCUUACCAAGGCAACGAUGCAUAGCCGACCUGAGAGGGUGAUCGGCCACACUGGAACUGAGACACGGUCCAGACUCCUACGGGAGGCAGCAGUAGGGAAUCUUCCGCAAUGGGCGAAAGCCUGACGGAGCAACGCCGCGUGAGUGAUGAAGGUCUUCGGAUCGUAAAACUCUGUUAUUAGGGAAGAACAUAUGUGUAAGUAACUGUGCACAUCUUGACGGUACCUAAUCAGAAAGCCACGGCUAACUACGUG